GUUUAUGUACAUGCCUGCAACAUAGUGUUAAUGCAUCAAAUCCCAUUAGAACUCCGCAUUUAAGCGUGCUUGGGCAAGAUUAGUACUAGGAUGGGUGGCCGCCUGGGAAGUCCUAGUAUUUUACAUGCC
Non-coding RNA from Picea glauca (white spruce), 129 nucleotides. Lineage: Eukaryota; Viridiplantae; Streptophyta; Pinopsida; Pinales; Pinaceae. The record is from Rfam.